This 464-nucleotide ribosomal RNA is filed under the name uncultured bacterium. RNAcentral's name for it is "bacterial SSU rRNA". It matches the Rfam family "Bacterial small subunit ribosomal RNA", at positions 331 to 792 of the family's 1533-position model. The record is from RNAcentral.
CCAGACUCCUACGGGAGGCAGCAGUGAGGAAUAUUGGUCAAUGGGCGGAAGCCUGAACCAGCCAAGUCGCGUGAGGGAUUAAGGCCCUAUGGGUCGUAAACCUCUUUUGUCAGGGAGCAAUGGCGUCCACGUGUGGGCGUAUGGAGAGUACCUGAAGAAAAAGCAUCGGCUAACUCCGUGCCAGCAGCCGCGGUAAUACGGAGGAUGCGAGCGUUAUCCGGAUUUAUUGGGUUUAAAGGGUGCGUAGGCGGAACAUUAAGUCAGCGGUAAAAUCGAGGGGCUCAACCCCUUUAAGCCGUUGAAACUGGUGAUCUUGAGUGGGCGAGAAGUAUGCGGAAUGCGUGGUGUAGCGGUGAAAUGCAUAGAUAUCACGCAGAACUCCGAUUGCGAAGGCAGCAUACCGGCGCCCAACUGACGCUGAAGCACGAAAGCGUGGGUAUCGAACAGGAUUAGAUACCCCUGUA